Molecule: ribosomal RNA, 447 nt
Filed under: uncultured bacterium
Lineage: Bacteria
Description: bacterial SSU rRNA
Rfam family: Bacterial small subunit ribosomal RNA
Source: RNAcentral
UGGGGAAUAUUGCACAAUGGGCGCAAGCCUGAUGCAGCCAUGCCGCGUGUAUGAAGAAGGCCUUCGGGUUGUAAAGUACUUUCAGCAGUGAGGAAGGUGGGUAUGUUAAUAGCAUACUCAUUUGACGUUAGCUGCAGAAGAAGCACCGGCUAACUCCGUGCCAGCAGCCGCGGUAAUACGGAGGGUGCGAGCGUUAAUCGGAAUUACUGGGCGUAAAGCGCAUGCAGGUGGUUGUUAAGUCAGAUGUGAAAAGCCCGGGGCUCAACCUCGGAAUUGCAUUUGAAACUGGCAAACUAGAGUACUGUAGAGGGGGUAGAAUUUCAGGUGUAGCGGUGAAAUGCGUAGAGAUCUGAAGGAAUACCGGGUGGCGAAGGCGGCCCCCUGGACAGAUACUUGACACUCAGAUGCGAAAGCGUGGGGAGCAAACAGGAUUAGAUACCCUGGUAG